Molecule: ribosomal RNA, 253 nt
Filed under: uncultured bacterium
Lineage: Bacteria
Description: partial 16S ribosomal RNA
Rfam family: Bacterial small subunit ribosomal RNA
Source: RNAcentral
UACAGAGGGUGCGAGCGUUGUCCGGAAUCACUGGGCGUAAAGGGCGCGUAGGCGGCCUGAUAAGUCGGGGGUGAAAUCCUGUGGCUUAACUGCAGGGCUGCCUCCUAGACUGUUAGGCUCGAGCACGGUAGAGGCAGAUGGAAUUCCCGGUGUAGCGGUGGAAUGCGUAGAGAUCGGGAAGAACAUCGGUGGCGAAGGCGGUCUGCUGGGCCGUUGCUGACGCUGAGGAGCGAAAGCGUGGGGAGCAAACAGG